UCCGGAGGGGGCUAGCGUUAUUCGGAAUUACUGGGCGUAAAGCGCACGUAGGCGGCUUUGUAAGUAAGAGGUGAAAGCCCGGAGCUCAACUCCGGAACUGCCUUUUAGACUGCAUCGCUUGAAUCCAGGAGAGGUGAGUGGAAUUCCGAGUGUAGAGGUGAAAUUCGUAGAUAUUCGGAAGAACACCAGUGGCGAAGGCGGCUCACUGGACUGGUAUUGACGCUGAGGCGCGAAAGCCAGGGGAGCAAACGGG
This 253-nucleotide ribosomal RNA is filed under the name uncultured bacterium. RNAcentral's name for it is "partial 16S ribosomal RNA". It matches the Rfam family "Bacterial small subunit ribosomal RNA", at positions 524 to 776 of the family's 1533-position model. The record is from RNAcentral.